This is a small nuclear RNA of Cebus imitator (Panamanian white-faced capuchin), 106 nucleotides long. The record is from RefSeq and is a predicted model, not a curated record. NCBI's taxonomy places the organism in Eukaryota, Metazoa, Chordata, Mammalia, Primates, Cebidae.
AUGCUCACUUCGGCAGCAUAUAUACUAAUAUGGAACGAUACAGAGAAGAUUAGCAUGGCCACUGUGCAAGGAUGACAUGCAAAUUCGUGAAGCUUUUCAUAUUUUA